UUGGACGCUGGCGGCAUGCUUAACACAUGCAAGUCGAACGGUAACAGGCCCUUCGGGGUGCUGACGAGUGGCGGACGGGUGAGUAAUGCUUAGGAAUCUGCCUAGUAGUGGGGGAUAACCCGGGGAAACUCGGGCUAAUACCGCAUACGCCCUACGGGGAAAGGCGGGGACGUUUCGGCCUCCGCGCUAUUAGAUGAGCCUAAGUCCGAUUAGCUAGUUGGUAGGGUAAUGGCCUACCAAGGCGACGANCGGUAGCUGGUCUGAGAGGACG
This 271-nucleotide ribosomal RNA is filed under the name uncultured bacterium. RNAcentral's name for it is "partial 16S ribosomal RNA". It matches the Rfam family "Bacterial small subunit ribosomal RNA", at positions 30 to 302 of the family's 1533-position model. The record is from RNAcentral.